GAUAACCAGUCGAAAGAUUGGCUAAUACCGGAUAAGCCCACGGUCUCUUCGGAGACUGAGGGAAAAGGUGGCCUCUGUAUACAAGCUAUCACAACCAGAUGAGUCCGCGGCCCAUCAGCUAGUUGGCGGGGUAAUGGCCCACCAAGGCAACGACGGGUAGCUGGUCUGAGAGGACGAUCAGCCACACUGGAACUGAGACACGGUCCAGACUCCUACGGGAGGCAGCAGUGGGGAAUUUUGCGCAAUGGGCGAAAGCCUGACGCAGCAACGCCGCGUGUGUGAUGAAGGUCUUUGGAUUGUAAAGCACUUUCGACCGGGACGAAACCGUAAAGCCUAAUACGCUUUGCCUUGACGGUACCGGGAGAAGAAGCACCGGCUAACUCUGUGCCAGCAGCCGCGGUAAUACAGAGGGUGCAAGCGUUGUUCGGAAUUAUUGGGCGUAAAGCGCGUGUAGGCGGCUUUGCAAGUCGGGUGUGAAAGCCCUCAGCUCAACUGAGGAAGUGCGCCCGAAACUGCAGAGCUUGAGUGCCGGAGAGGGUGGCGGAAUUCCCCAAGUAGAGGUGAAAUUCGUAGAUAUGGGGAGGAACACCGGUGGCGAAGGCGGCCACCUGGACGGUAACUGACGCUGAGACGCGAAAGCGUGGGUAGCAACAGGAUUAGAUACCCUGGUAGUCCACGCCGUAAACGAUGAGAACUAGGUGUCGUGGGAGUUGACCCCC
Molecule: ribosomal RNA, 719 nt
Filed under: Corallococcus exiguus
Lineage: Bacteria; Pseudomonadati; Myxococcota; Myxococcia; Myxococcales; Myxococcaceae
Description: bacterial SSU rRNA
Rfam family: Bacterial small subunit ribosomal RNA
Source: RNAcentral